AGUGUGUUUUCCACCCUACGGCAUUUCCAACAAUUCCAUCCAUCUCCCCUGCCAACAGCAUCUUUGGUAUUUAUAAAGUUUGUAGUAAUGCCACAAGUGAAAUUAGAUUAGAACAGAGUGUCUAUUUGACAAACCAAGAAAUUUCAAAACCCUUGCCAGCCAAACUCUCUUAUUGAAAGUCAUCUUUGUUAUGAUGUCUUUUAUGAUCUCUUAAAGUUCAUAGAGUUUGUAUUGGGAUUUGACUUGUAAUAGCCCUGGAAUGUGGCAUCAGGUUCCAUUUUAUAUGGUAAAUUCCAGAAAACUAAAGACCAUAAUAUAUGGUUUUGGUGGCCUGCUUUGAAGAGUGACAUGGGCACUUAGGUGCUAAAUACAUGCUAUUUGAGGAUACGGUCCACGGGAAAUUGGCUUAGAUCACAUUUAUUCACCUGUCUUGGUAUGUUAGUGUAGGGAACUGUGCAGGUAAAGGUCCUUGCCUUCAUCUCUUAACAUAUUCAAUAUGUGCUGACGGUUUUUGUAGUGACGUCAAUACCUAACGAGUACUUACAGAUCCAGGGCAAUCUUCCAAGCACUGACUGGGAACCAGUAGAAAUGGCCUGGAUCCUGCACUCUGGGUGCCUGAUUCAGUACGGAGUCAACCACAGGUGCUCAGACACCACAGCGCCAGCAGAAUGUGGCAACCAUCAUGAGAAAUGUGUAAGGCCAUGUGGCAGGAGUCCCUGGGUGGGAGAGGCCCCUUCAGUGUGUGAGGAGGGCCAGCUUUGGGGAUGAGCAGGUAAAGUGGGAUAGGGGGAGAUGAGAAGCGGAGGCCACAGCUGCCAUCGGGGCACUUCCGUUGUGAGGCUCAAGCCAUAAAAAACAAAAACAAAGCAAAAGAAAACCUUCACUAAUUCGAGGCCAUAUAAAAACCUACUAGAAUAAAACAAAUGUUUUUGGUGAGUAAUCCUACAUGAAAAAGAGAUUUAAUUUUAUGGCUUAAUAAGUGCUGACGCGCUGGCCGGGAGAUAAUAGAUGGUCAUCACAUUCAUGCGUUCCCACCACCCUGCGGCCAUGGAGAGAGACCUGGAGAGAAAGGCCCCAAUCCCGCUGGCAGAUGGGUGGGGAAGAAAGGGCCCCGGCUCCCGCUCUGCUCGGCGCUGCCUCACGCGACUGGACCAGCCUGUGACCUCGCAGAACCACCAACCACAGGAC
This 1188-nucleotide long non-coding RNA is filed under the name Equus caballus (horse). Its description in RNAcentral is "lncRNA (ENSECAG00000046236.1)". The record is from RNAcentral. Lineage: Eukaryota; Metazoa; Chordata; Mammalia; Perissodactyla; Equidae.